Small nuclear RNA from Sorex fumeus (smoky shrew), 104 nucleotides. NCBI's taxonomy places the organism in Eukaryota, Metazoa, Chordata, Mammalia, Eulipotyphla, Soricidae. The record is from RefSeq and is a predicted model, not a curated record.
GUGCUUGCUUUGGCAGCACAGAGACUAAAAUUGGAACACUACAGAAAUCAGCAUGGCCCUGCACAAGGAUGAUAGGCAAAUUUUGUGGGGUGAUCCAUAGCUGU